CUACGGGGCGCUCCAGUGGGGAAUAUUGGACAAUGGACCAAAAGUCUGAUCCAGCAAUUCUGUGUGCACGAUGACGGUUUUCGGAUUGUAAAGUGCUUUCAACAGGGAAGAAGUUCUGACGGUACCUGUAGAAGAAGCGACGGCUAAAUACGUGCCAGCAGCCGCGGUAAUACGUAUGUCGCAAGCGUUAUCCGGAUUUAUUGGGCAUAAAGGGCAUCUAGGCGGCUUAGUAAGUCUGAUGUGAAAAUGCGGGGCUCAACUCCGUAUUGCGUUGGAAACUACUAAGCUAGAGUAUUGGAGAGGUAGGCGGAACUUCAUGUGUAGAGGUGAAAUUCGUAGAUAUAUGUAGGAAUGCCGAUGACGAAGGUAGCUUACUGGACAAUUACUGACGCUGAAGUGCGAAAGCUAGGGGAGCAAACAGGAUUAGAUACCCUUGUAGUC
This 441-nucleotide ribosomal RNA is filed under the name uncultured bacterium. RNAcentral describes it as "partial 16S ribosomal RNA". It matches the Rfam family "Bacterial small subunit ribosomal RNA", at positions 339 to 795 of the family's 1533-position model. The record is from RNAcentral.